Molecule: ribosomal RNA, 635 nt
Filed under: Alabagrus haenschi
Lineage: Eukaryota; Metazoa; Arthropoda; Insecta; Hymenoptera; Braconidae
Description: eukaryotic LSU rRNA
Rfam family: Eukaryotic large subunit ribosomal RNA
Source: RNAcentral
UAAAAGUUCGAAAAGAGAGAUUCAACGUCAGUAUGUAUUGUAUUCACGUGAGUAGUGAUGCAAGUUUUUGGUAAGAGGGUCAAAUCUUUUAUCAAUGCCUGCACAUUUUCAUGUUAUUUUAUUGCAAUACUAUUGCCGGCGUGCACUUCUCUCUUAGUAGGACGUCCCGACCCGUUGAGUCUUGGCCUACGGCACAGAUGGUAGCCUUUAAUAUUUUAUAUUAAAGUCCUCUGAUGUACUCCUGGCUAAAGUACUCGACGGUAGUUUAAGAUAUGGUGUCCAGCCGCAGAAAUGCGUCCGGCCUGUCGCAAGUUUUUGACAUAUUCCACAUUACAUAGACUUAGUGCUAUGUAGAUGGUUGUGUCGCUUUGCAUGACUGUGCUUUAGGACUGGCUUACUUCACCUGUCGGGGACGCUUAGGCUUUGGGNNNNNNNNNNACCCGUCUUGAAACACGGACCAAGGAGUCUAACAUGUACGCGAGUCAUUGGGUAUAUAUUUUCCUUCUGGGAAUUUAUAUAAAACAAACCUAAAGGCGCAAUGAAAGUAAAGGUUGGAACUCGCUUCCGACUUAGGGAUGAUGGGUUAUUAAUUUAUCCCCGCAAUCCCGGGGCAUCUUAAUCUCAUUGCGAGAUGA